UAAAACGAGAUUUUAAUCGAUGGGACUCGAAAAACUACAUAGUGCAAUUUUUAUUAUUACUUGUAAAUUGUUCUACUACUUCGUAAAUAUUACUAAUAACGAAUCAAAAAGCAUUGAAAUUCUUACGAAAUUCUAACAAAAAUUAAAAUCCUCUUUAUCUUAUUUUUUUAUUAGUUUUUUCUUACUCCAAAAAUUCGAAACAUCGAGCGAGCAACAAUGGUUCGUUAAAAUUUAAUUAACCAAUCGUUGUACAUGCAUCGAUAAAUAAUAAAUAAUUGCACAAUGUGAUAAUUACAUUAUUUCAUUCAGGAUAAAUAAUUGAAUUAUUUUAUAAUUUAAAUCUUUAACCAAAUCUUACACUCUAUACUUAUCUUUCUUCACGAAAACUCUCCUCUUAAUCUUUCAUUUUUCAAAGGACACAACCGAUCCCUCCCUAACCUUGAUUCCUUCACGGUCGAUUUGUACGCACGGAGAAUGCAGCCAGAAGCGAAUCCAAGAACGGGCAAACGGGCAUGGCAUCGUGCGUCAUCCCACGGCCCCGUUCUAUGGGGGCCUAGAACCUCACCUAGGGGCCCUUUAUCCGGCCUACCGUCUAUUGAAUAGAAAGGACGAGGGGGGGAGUGUUCGUUUAACUUGGAGUGCAAGCAGGUGCGUUCAACCCGCAACUAGUGUACAGUUUACCUGCGGGAGCGUCUGCCAGUAAACGUUCGUGCCUCGUUCCGUUUCCGUAUCGCGCAGAGAUUUAGUUCAAUUCGUUGUUUCAAAGUGAUAAUUGAUCUUGGAUGAUUUAACUACGACAGCGGGCGCAUCCGUGACACCGGCCAGUGCGGCGCGAGGACCAGGAUCAGGAGGAGCAGCACCGCGCUUAUUUCCAAGGAUUACCACGUUUCUCGAGGAUGGGCUGUUGCUGCUGCACGGACGAGCCAUCGUCCAAGGUGGAGCCUCGGGUAAGGAUUAUUUUUUACGAUUACGCCCGUUGAAAUUUCCGCCCGGGUAUUUCAAUAUAAAACUUCUGGUCGCGUAGCGGUGCGGUAAGUGAAACGGGUCAGGUCAACGUGUUUCGCUUUAAACUUCCCGCGUAAAUUCUUGUCGCGUAAUUGUGGAAGAGAGAAAAGUAAUUAUUCGUGGACACGUGUGUACGUAAUACGUAUACGUUUUAAUUAUCGUUUGUAUGCGCGUUGAUGAUAAAUUAUUCCAAUAUUUGGAUGUUCGACGUACGUUUAACUUAUAUAAUAAAUAUUAUGGAUGUAUGCAUAAUACAUACGUAUAAUAGUAUAGUUGAUUUAUCACUCGUAGAAAGUUCAUUUUUUUCUUUUUUAUUCAGUAGUUGGAUUGAUGAAAUUAUGCUUUACAAUAAUCGUUAGAAAUGAGAAUUAAAUAAAAGAAUAGAUAUUUUAAAGUCGCGUGGAAUUAUAGUGGACCUUCGUUUUUUGAAAUCAUCCCUUUUGAUUCAUAAAGGUAUCAUCUUACUUAAA
Molecule: unclassified non-coding RNA, 1475 nt
Filed under: Apis florea (little honeybee)
Lineage: Eukaryota; Metazoa; Arthropoda; Insecta; Hymenoptera; Apidae
Description: uncharacterized LOC100865719, transcript variant X10
Source: RNAcentral